This is a non-coding RNA of Plasmodium billcollinsi, 73 nucleotides long. NCBI's taxonomy places the organism in Eukaryota, Apicomplexa, Aconoidasida, Haemosporida, Plasmodiidae. The record is from the annotation of a GenBank genome assembly.
UCCGAGAUAGUAUAGUGGCAAGUAUUUCCGCCUGUCACGCGGAAGACCCGGGUUCAAUUCCCGGUCUCGGAGG